GCUGCCAAGUCAGGAAGGGGAACCCCCGGAACUCUGCGGCAAAGCGACCCCGAGGAGAGGAACGAAGAGCCUCCCGCGUUAGAGGCCCUGGAAGCGUGCUGUCGUCCUUGCUGAGGCUCACGGGAGACGUAGUCCAAGCGGAGGGGGCCGUUCCUGCGGAGCAGGUGCAGGAUUGGCCAGGCUGGUAGGACCCUCUGUCACCUCCAAAAAGACCCUCAAAACAAGAAUGCCAUCUCCUCUGGGUACCCCACACCUAUCCUUCAGAGACUCCAGGACCACCCUUGAGGAGCCUGAGGCUGCACGACUCCAUUUCCGGGGUUUCUGCUAUGAGGAGGUUGAGGGACCCCGAGAGGCAUUGGCCCGGCUUCGAGAGUUGUGUCACCAGUGGUUGCAGCCUGAGUCAUCCUCCAAAGAGCAGAUGAUAGAGUUGCUGGUUUUGGA
This 441-nucleotide long non-coding RNA is filed under the name Rattus norvegicus (Norway rat). Its description in RNAcentral is "long non-coding RNA NONRATT002247". Lineage: Eukaryota; Metazoa; Chordata; Mammalia; Rodentia; Muridae. The record is from RNAcentral.